UGGCAAUGAUGACAAAAAGGCCGGACUUACAGCUGCCUUGGAUCCCAUCCAAAUGGUAGUAGAAGGAUGAAAACUCUCAUAAGGUGUUUGUUGAGCCAG
Nelumbo nucifera (sacred lotus) is the source of this 99-nucleotide non-coding RNA. Lineage: Eukaryota; Viridiplantae; Streptophyta; Magnoliopsida; Proteales; Nelumbonaceae. The record is from Rfam.